RNAcentral lists this ribosomal RNA (119 nucleotides) under Pteropus alecto (black flying fox). Lineage: Eukaryota; Metazoa; Chordata; Mammalia; Chiroptera; Pteropodidae. The record is from RNAcentral.
GUCUACGGCCAUAGCACCCUGAACAUGCCCGAUCUCGCCUGAUCUCGGAAGCUAAGCAGGGUCGGGCCUGGUUAGUACUUGAAUGGGAGAACAUCUAGGAAGACCAGGUGCUGUAGGCG